UACAAAGCUCAAAACCAGUCAGCUCAAUU
This 29-nucleotide non-coding RNA is filed under the name Homo sapiens (human). The record is from RNAcentral. Lineage: Eukaryota; Metazoa; Chordata; Mammalia; Primates; Hominidae.